CUACACGAUGGAUCUGGCGAAAUCGAGUCUGGCAAUUAGCUAGACGCACACUUUUUAGCAGAAUUUUUUGGAUACAAAAGUGGAGUACGAUUUUUCGAUUUUUCUUUCAAAAACGGUCUCACAGGUGCCCAGGCCCCAGGACCCAGGUGGUACGACGACUUUUCGCCGCUGACCGCCCCUCCUUCCACCAUCCAUCCCCAACUCCCACCUGCUCCCGCCUUGCCUGCUCCUCCGUUGACCUUGUCGCCGGAGACCUGUACACUCCCCCCUGCGUCCGCCUCCUUCUCGGUCCAAUCUACCCUUCCUUCGGCGAGCCGUAUCAGCCUGACGACCCUCGCGAGAUCUGUGCUUAGGUACUGGCCGCCAUGGAUGGCCGCGGAGGAAAUGCUCGGCCGCGUCCCGUGAGGAUCCCAGCCGCCAAGAUUGAAGUUUUCCGAGGGUGACGAUGGCGAUACGCGCAUCACCGUCUCCCACUCCGGCUACGUGGCGCAGAGCCUGGCCUCGUCCUACGGCCUGCGACGCACCACCUGCUGUGUCCUCCAGGACGCGCUCUCCCGCCACUUCUGCCCCUUCGCCUCCUCCCGCUGCCGGGGCGACCAAGCCUGUCCCCGCCACCGGAGGCAGACACCUCACCAAGGCUCCGAUGGAGGCAGCUAGUCGCUAUUUGUAUCGCCGCCUGGGUCAAAGGCGCCCGUCGAUGACCAGCCGGGUCGCUGGCGGUGGGGUUGCUGUCGGUGCUCGCGUCGGUGGUGUAUCCCCGCUGUCGGCCUUGCCGUCGAUAUCUCUCCCAUUUCAUUAUUAGAAGAGGAGAACCAGGACAAUUUACAACCACGAGUCAAAGAAGGGGAUAGAUUCCCUUCGGUGACUACCUACCGAAAGAAACUAAUGGAUUACUCCCAAAACACCUCUCUGAUGAGGGAAACAUCAUCUUUGAUUAGGUGAAACACUCUCUCAGGAGUCAAAGACCGACACCAUCCUGCCUGGCUCAUGACUGCACGACGGACUGGUCAACUCGCUCCUACUUCUCAGGCGCUAUAGCAUCUCGCUGCUCAGGAUGGACAGCUUUGUACAGAUUUGUGUCUUCCUGCUCCUUUGAUUGGUAAUUUGACUUGCAGUUUUGUUUGACAUGAUUGGCUUAGUAAUGAUAGGUUUGAUGCUUUGAUAGAUUGUAUCUAUGAUGGUUUUGCUAGCUCCUAUUCCUGUCUUGAGUACUUGGCUGCAAAGGCUAUUGUAUGCCCAACAAAUACUGUUGUUGAUGCUAUCAACGAGUGUGUUGCUGCUAGAGUUCCAUCUGAAAGUCGGUAGUAUUUGAGUGCGGAUAAGGUCGACGCGGGGUCAGAACAGAUUCCGAAUGUAGAUGUUUUGUAUACAGAGGAUAUCCUCAAUGCUAUCAUACCACCGAAUUAUCCGGAUCAUCCCGUGGUACUCAAGGUUGGCAUGCCUGUUAUUUUAAUAAGGAAUCUGAAUCAGGGAAUGGGACUGUGUAAUGGUACAAGGCUGUUGAUUACCAGGCUAGCCGAUUGUGUGCUUGUGGUUACUGUGAUGACUGGUUUAGCUAUUGCGCAGUUGGUUUGCAUUCCGAGAAUAGUUUUGAGUGUGAAUGAUCGGAAGUGGCCAUUUGUCUUGCAGCGCCGACAGUUCCCUUUUGAGUAUGCUAUGCAUUUACUACUUACUAUCGAUAAAAGCCAGGGUCCGACAUUGAAGAAAGUUGGAAUCAUCUAUCUACAGAACCCAGUUUUUUACACAUGGUCAACUUUAUGGGGCUGUUUUUUCGAGUUACCUCUCCUGAGGGCCUUAAGGUUCUUAUAGCUGAAGAAGAUGGUUCUUGUGACAAUGAGACUAGGAAUAUAGUGUAUAGGGAGGUGCUAGAUGCAGUCAGGGACUAGCUAGCCUGUAGUUUUUAGUUUCCUUUUGGCAGGGCUGUAGUCUUUGUUUGAUGUAUCAUGUAUGACUGCUAUGCUUCGUGUGUUGUAAUCUUUUGCCGUCGUGUGCCUAUUCUGUACUUAAGUUUGUCUGGUAUAUGGUUUUACUGGAUGAUAUGUAUCUUUUUGGUUUUAAUGAGUGCAGGACCGUUUUGUUUGGUAUCGAUUUUUGUUUUCAAUUCUUGAGCGCCGCUUUUUUCUGGUAAUUCCGCUUGUCAGUUUUGUCAAUAUGACGGGCCUUUUGGUGUUCCAGUUGCUGGUUGACGGGCCUUCUGUUCCUUUGCUGUUGAUGUUUUAUUAGGUUCGCUGUCUUCAGUGGCUGGUUAUUGAUAACGUGAUAUGCGCCCAGUACGGUCAGUUAGUGCCUCGAGCAGACAGGAACAACGAUCCAAGCUUCGCGCGCUCACCAAACGAAGAUUUCAGCUUCAUCAUCACGCAGCUGUUGCGUCAUAGGGAGAUCACCAACGAAAUGUUCCCUCGCAAGAACUGGAAGACAAUGAUAAAGGCGUUCGACUAGGUCAUGGGCAAACAAUCCGACAAGAAACAAGCUUCAAAGUCGUCCUGUUGAAGAUUCAUUUGCCUGCGACAUCGGCGCUCAGCCCUAGCCGACUUGACGACACUACCUCACCCACGCCCACGACGAACAAAGCUUGUAACAUCAGCGUCCUACUACACAGUUGCCGCAAAACCUAAAAUCAGGUCUGAUCACUGCAAUUCGAAUAAAAAAUAAGUUCUCAUAAUUACACAUUAAUCAUGAUGAACUUCGUAUUCAGUUAACCAUCACACUACGGCAACAGCCCGCUACGUCGACGGCUUCUAAGCCGUCGGCAGAGCCCAGAUUGCCGGCGGCAUAGCUCCCUCGGCGUAACAAGCUGUCGGCGUAGCCCUGAUGCCGUCAGCCUAGAAUAGGCCAGAAUUUUUUUUCCAAUUUUUUUUCUAAAAUAUUUUUCCUAAAUUUUUAUUAUUUGAAUUGUUUAACUGAUUAAUCACACUAGAGACAUAUUUAUCUUUAUCUCUAAGCAUUCUUAAUUUCAAUUUAAAUUCCUCAGAUGGCUCCAGCCCCAGCACGCUUACCUUCUUAAUUCAUUCCCUAUGAGGGACCUAGAAACAACGGAUGCUUUGUUGAUAAUAGUAUCCUAUCAAUCCUUUUAACCCUUGGACCAUGAUGUCACACGCCUUUAUUUUGUGAAUCCAAAUAAUUAUUUAAGUAAAAAAUGAAUAAGUAAUAAUAAUCUCGAUUUCAAAUAAUCUUGAAUUCAAAUAAUAAUUAACGUUUUUUUGUCUUUUUCCAAUUAAUAUUGAAUAAUUCAUAUCUACAAAUCCGUAAAUCAAAAUUUAACAAAUAAUGUCUAAAUCAAUUAGAAAAAUGAGAGGAAUCCAAAUAUGACAUCCAUAUCAUCUUUUCCAUCAUGUAUAGGCUUUACUAAGUGGGGUGUUGAGUGUGUGGUAUAGGGUCACCCCUGGGCAAAUUAGGUGUCGAAACUAGGGUUUCUAGAGGAAACAUGCCAAACUUGGUCACCAAAUGAUCAAACCAUGUUGGAAUGGGCCAAGAUUUAGCACAGUGGGGUACCAUGGCAUUGCAAACCAACAUAGCCCUGGGUUUGGGGUCUUGGGUGUGUGGUAGAGGGUCACACCCAGAAAAAUUAGGUGUCGAAAAUAGGGUUUCUGGGUAAACAGGCCAAACUUGGGCACCUAAUGAUCAAACCAUGUUGGAAUGGUCCAAGAUUUGGCACAGUGGAGCAUAAUGGCAUUGCAAACAAACAUAGACCUAGGUUUGGGGAGUUGGGUGUGUAGUAUAGGGUCACCCCCAGGCAAAUUAGGUGUCGAAACAGGCCAAACUUGGGCACCAAAUGAACAAACCAUGUUAGAGUGGGCCAAGAUUUGGCAUAGUGGAGCACAAUGGAAUUGAAAAACCAUAACACACUUGUACACACUUGGUAUGGCACCAGCUAGUUUUUGGUUGGAUUUCGACGCUCGGUAGCCCCUUUCCAGCGAAACCCUAGCCCCGCUGGAGAAAAGCCCAGCUUAUACGUCUACACCCGGUACCGGCGUCAAAAGAGGGUAGCAAAGUGCAACUUUUUUGCUUGGUUGUGUUAGGGUAGCCCCUAGGAACACCCAAAACAAAGUUAUACCCCGACUCUUCACAAGAUUCCCUCUGAUUCGUCCGAAGUGGGAGAUUCCAGCUAUAAGUCCAGAAACUCACUAGAGAGAAAUUGAUGACAGUGAACCCGCUAACACCCCGGAGUGGAAUCUUGGACAUAUACAACCCAAAACACACUUGUACACACUUGGUAUGGCACCACCUAACUUUUGGUUGGAUUCAGACGCUCCGUAGCCCCUCUCCGGCGAAACCCUAGCCCCGCUGGAGAAAAGCCCAGCUUAUACGUCUACACCCGGUACCGGCGUCAAAGGAGGGUAGCAAAGUGCAACUUUUUGCUUGGUUGUGUUAGGGUAGCCCAUAGGAACACCCAAAACAAAUUUAUACCAGAACUCUUCACAAGAUUCCCUCCGGUUCGCCCUUUCAUCGACGGUCUUCACCCUUUAUUGUUGGUUCCGUCCUUGCUCAUGGAAAUUUUUGAAGAAUAUAGCAUGAACAAUGUGUAUUAUGAUGUAGAUCUCCUCCUCCUCUUCGAAACGAGCUAAAGAACAUAAAAAUCCGAAUUCGAAUGCAAAAGUUAUGCUCAAAACGGUGAGUAAGUCAAAAAAAAAAAACAGAGCUACGCCGAGGGCAUUGCCCUCGGCGUAGGAAAAUACAGAACUACGCCGAAUGAUAUUCCAAGUGGUUCUCCGAACUUAGUACUAAUAUUGG
Molecule: long non-coding RNA, 4731 nt
Organism: Brachypodium distachyon (stiff brome)
Lineage: Eukaryota; Viridiplantae; Streptophyta; Magnoliopsida; Poales; Poaceae
Exons: 4
Source: RefSeq, a predicted model, not a curated record